GACGAACGCUGGCGGCGUGCUUAACACAUGCAAGUCGUACGGUAAGGCCCUUUCGGGGGUACACGAGUGGCGAACGGGUGAGUAACACGUGAGUAACCUGCCCACAACUUUGGGAUAACGCUAGGAAACUGGUGCUAAUACUGGAUAUGUGCUCCUGCUGCAUGGUGGGGGUUGGAAAGCUCCGGCGGUUGUGGAUGGACUCGCGGCCUAUCAGCUUGUUGGUGGGGUAGUGGCCUACCAAGGCGGCGACGGGUAGCCGGCCUGAGAGGGUGACCGGCCACAUUGGGACUGAGAUACGGCCCAGACUCCUACGGGAGGCAGCAGUGGGGAAUAUUGCACAAUGGGCGCAAGCCUGAUGCAGCAACGCCGCGGGCGGGAUGACGGCCUUCGGGUUGUAAACCGCGUUCAGCAGGGACGAAGCUUUUUGUGACGGUACCUGCAGAAGAAGCACCGGCUAACUACGUG
This 465-nucleotide ribosomal RNA is filed under the name uncultured bacterium. RNAcentral's name for it is "partial 16S ribosomal RNA". It matches the Rfam family "Bacterial small subunit ribosomal RNA", at positions 28 to 507 of the family's 1533-position model. The record is from RNAcentral.